CCUACGGGAGGCAGCAGUGGGGAAUAUUGGGCAAUGGGCGAAAGCCUGACCCAGCGACGCCGCGUGAGGGACGAAGGCCUUCGGGUUGUAAACCUCUUUCAGCAGGGAAGAAGCGAAAGUGACGGUACCUGCAGAAGAAGCACCGGCUAACUACGUGCCAGCAGCCGCGGUAAUACGUAGGGUGCAAGCGUUGUCCGGAAUUAUUGGGCGUAAAGAGCUCGUAGGUGGUUUGCCACGUCGGAUGUGAAAACCUGAGGCUUAACCUCAGGCCUGCAUUUCGAUACGGGCAGACUAGAGUGUGGUAGGGGAGACUGGAAUUCCUGGUGUAGCGGUGAAAUGCGCAGAUAUCAGGAGGAACACCGGUGGCGAAGGCGGGUCUCUGGGCCAUAACUGACACUGAGGAGCGAAAGCGUGGGGAGCAAACAGGAUUAGAUACCCUGGUAGUCCACGCCGUAAACGGUGGGCACUAGAUGUGGGGACCUUCCACGGUCUCUGCGUCGCAGCUAACGCAUUAAGUGCCCCGCCUGGGGAGUACGGCCGCAAGGCUAAAACUCAAAGGAAUUGACGG
This 568-nucleotide ribosomal RNA is filed under the name uncultured bacterium. RNAcentral describes it as "bacterial SSU rRNA". It matches the Rfam family "Bacterial small subunit ribosomal RNA", at positions 338 to 916 of the family's 1533-position model. The record is from RNAcentral.